AGAGGUCUCAAGCGUUGUUCGGAUUCAUUGGGCGUAAAGGGUGCGUAGGUGGUGACGCAAGUCUGGUGUGAAAUCUCGGAGCUUAACUCCGAAACUGCACCGGAUACUGCGUGACUCGAGGACUGUAGAGGAGAUCGGAAUUCACGGUGUAGCAGUGAAAUGCGUAGAUAUCGUGAGGAAGACCAGUUGCGAAGGCGGAUCUCUGGGCAGUUCCUGACACUGAGGCACGAAGGCCAGGGGAGCAAACGGGAUUAGAUACCCCGGUAGUCCUGGCAGUAGACGGUGCACGUUUGGUGUGGGCGGGUUCAGACCCCGUCCGUGCCGGAGCUAACGCGUUAAACGUGCCGCCUGGGAAGUACGGUCGCAAGAUUA
Molecule: ribosomal RNA, 372 nt
Filed under: uncultured bacterium
Lineage: Bacteria
Description: bacterial SSU rRNA
Rfam family: Bacterial small subunit ribosomal RNA
Source: RNAcentral